GACGAACGCUGGCGGCGUGCUUAACACAUGCAAGUCGAACGGAAAGGCCCUGCUUGCAGGGUACUCGAGUGGCGAACGGGUGAGUAACACGUGGGUGAUCUGCCCUGCACUUCGGGAUAAGCCUGGGAAACUGGGUCUAAUACCGGAUAGGAGCCAUUUUUAGUGUGAUGGUUGGAAAGUUUUUUCGGUGUAGGAUGAGCUCGCGGUCUAUCAGCUUGUUGGUGGGGUAAUGGCCUACCAAGGCGGCGACGGGUAGCCGGCCUGAGAGGGUGGACGGCCACAUUGGGACUGAGAUACGGCCCAGACUCCUACGGGAGGCAGCAGUGGGGAAUAUUGCACAAUGGGCGCAAGCCUGAUGCAGCGACGCCGCGUGGGGGAUGACGGCCUUCGGGUUGUAAACUCCUUUCGCUAGGGACGAAGCUUUUUGUGACGGUACCUAGAGAAGAAGCACCGGCUAACUACGCG
Molecule: ribosomal RNA, 465 nt
Filed under: uncultured bacterium
Lineage: Bacteria
Description: partial 16S ribosomal RNA
Rfam family: Bacterial small subunit ribosomal RNA
Source: RNAcentral